UCUCCGUUGGUGAACCAGCGGAGGGAUCAUUACUGGAAUCGCAAGAUCCCACAACCCCUGUGAACCUACCGAAACGUUGCCUCGGCGGGCGCCCGGCCCCGCCCCGGGCGCUGAUCCCGCCGGCCGCCCCCUACUCUUGUCUCUGCAGCGUGGCAUCUCAGACUCCCAGAAAACAAGUAAAAACUUUCAACAACGGAUCUCUUGGCUCUA
This 210-nucleotide unclassified non-coding RNA is filed under the name plant metagenome. Its description in RNAcentral is "partial contains small subunit ribosomal RNA, internal transcribed spacer 1, and 5.8S ribosomal RNA". The record is from RNAcentral.